Molecule: long non-coding RNA, 622 nt
Organism: Chelmon rostratus (copperband butterflyfish)
Lineage: Eukaryota; Metazoa; Chordata; Actinopteri; Chaetodontiformes; Chaetodontidae
Exons: 3
Source: RefSeq, a predicted model, not a curated record
ACAGCAGCGAGGGCGAGUUGCUUUAGUCCACCUGGUGAGUCACAGGCUGUCUCGGCUGUGAGAGGCCGACAGGGAAUCGAACCCGCGUCACCCCGUUCAUCACAGCAGUGUCUGACCUGAACCGUCUACAAGAGGACAACAGCAGAAACCAGUGACCAGCCCCCCUUAAUAAACCGGUGACCUGCCCCCCCUUCAUAAAUCAGUGCCCAGCCGCUGUGACCGCCCCUCACCUGUCUGUUCUCCGUGGCUGUUUGACCAUGCUGAAGCCUGGCUCAGAUGACCUUUGACCUCCCUGCACCAACACUCACCUGCACUCAUGGAAAAGAGAGAGAGUAAAGAAACAACGUUUGAAAAAAGGAAGAUUUUCUUUUCUUUUGAUUAAAUCUCCAUAAAAGACAAACUACCUAAACUGCAUGUCUGUCAAAAAGAAAAAAGAAAACAGGAUUAACUUCUACCAGCGGACAUCCUGACCUGACUCACACAAACAAGCGACGUGGAAAAGGCUUCAGGGGAGAGCUGUGAUUGGCUGAUGAGGUCUGGAAGUUAUUUCCAGGUUGCAGUGAGUCUGCUGGUAUUUCCUGGAUUCACUCAGCAGACGAGGAGCUGCAGCACUGUGACGACG